Molecule: ribosomal RNA, 157 nt
Filed under: Aspergillus giganteus
Lineage: Eukaryota; Fungi; Ascomycota; Eurotiomycetes; Eurotiales; Aspergillaceae
Description: 5.8S ribosomal RNA
Rfam family: 5.8S ribosomal RNA
About the family: 5.8S ribosomal RNA (5.8S rRNA) is a component of the large subunit of the eukaryotic ribosome. It is transcribed by RNA polymerase I as part of the 45S precursor that also contains 18S and 28S rRNA.
Source: RNAcentral
AAACUUUCAACAACGGAUCUCUUGGUUCCGGCAUCGAUGAAGAACGCAGAGAAAUGCGAUAACUAAUGUGAAUUGCAGAAUUCAGUGAAUCAUAGAGUCUUUGAACGCACAUUGCGCCCCNUGGUAUUCCGGGGGGCAUGCUUGUCCGAGCGUCAUU